Callithrix jacchus (white-tufted-ear marmoset) is the source of this 116-nucleotide unclassified non-coding RNA. It matches the Rfam family "Metazoan signal recognition particle RNA". Rfam says of the family: The signal recognition particle (SRP) is a universally conserved ribonucleoprotein. It is involved in the co-translational targeting of proteins to membranes. The eukaryotic SRP consists of a 300-nucleotide 7S RNA and six proteins: SRPs 72, 68, 54, 19, 14, and 9. The record is from Ensembl. Lineage: Eukaryota; Metazoa; Chordata; Mammalia; Primates; Cebidae.
GCUGGGUGUGAUGGCUCACACCUGUAAUCCCAGCACUUCGGAGGCUAAGGCAGGAGGAUUACUUUUGUCCAGGACUUAGAGACCAGCCUGGACAACAUAGUGAGACCUUGUCUUUA